Nilaparvata lugens (brown planthopper) is the source of this 680-nucleotide long non-coding RNA. RefSeq lists it as uncharacterized. The transcript has 3 exons. NCBI's taxonomy places the organism in Eukaryota, Metazoa, Arthropoda, Insecta, Hemiptera, Delphacidae. The record is from RefSeq and is a predicted model, not a curated record.
AAAUUGGUUGUAUGGAGGAAAUGUACCACAUCAAAUGCGAAGGGUCUUUGCUAAAGGAGAACAACACGUGAAGAAAAAUAAAAAAAUUAAAAAAACUAAUCCAGAUUUAUUAGGCGCCAGCUCCAAUGAUAAGUUGCGUGAGCCAGCUGCAGGAAUAUCGUGGAACCCGGAAGAUAAGAAUCAGUUGAACGAUACAAAUUCGCUACACUUGACCUUAAUGCUGCCGCUCACUGAAGAGAGAUGGCAAUGAUCUCUGAAGAGAGAUGGGAGUUUUGUCGAUUUACUUUAUCAGCUCUCGGAUAAAACACAGCAGAACGAAGCGAGCUUGAUCAAGAAAUGAAGAUGAGACGAGACGCCAUCUUGAUGUAACAGAUGAACUUGAGCCAGGAUGCUGGAUGCUGUACCGGACUCAUCGGGGAUUCAGCCAUAUUUCAAUCCGCACCUGACAUAUCUCAGCUGGCCACAUACCAGAUUGGAGGAGUCUCUCCUCUCCACACAAAUUAUGCCACAUCUUUUAUGUAUACCGAAUAAAAAUUUCACUUUAUAUCGUCCAUUAGUAAACAUGAAUCGUUCAAGACAACAUGGUCGGAGCGAUACAAUUUAUGGUUUACUCUGUUAAUAAAAUCAUUUACUUUAUUAAGGUAUUAGAUGGAGAAUACACGUGACACUUGAGAAAAAUA